ACCUAAGCAUGUAGAACAAGGAGCCUCUUUAUUGACUGAAGGUGGCUACAGGGAGGUGCCCAUUUUGUUUUCACCCUGUGUCUUGAAGCUUGAAUAAUCAUCUCCUAUCCUCCCAUGAAUGACAUGUAGCAGAUACCAAUGGAGGAAAACCUGUGUCCUUCCACCGACCGUGUGUAUCAUACAGGAGUCCGCUACAUGUUGGCGAUACAAUCAUUGAAAUGACAGAAGUGGAAAGACUGGAACACCAUAAAGGAAAUGACUCCAAUAUUCUGGACGUUCAUGUACGAGAGAUAACAUCCAAGUCAAGUACUUUUGGAUUCUUUGAAGUCAUGGUGAUGACAUUCAGAAAUUUUGGACUGCGUAAUAGACCCUUCCCAUGAAUUAUGCUUAUUUCAUUCAGGCAUGCUUACAGACACAGGCAAGCGCCAUAUGAAUGUGCACUAAGCAGGUGCAUGCAUGCAGUCAUGCCACUAUCAUCUCCAUGCAAAAAGGCGUGAUGUUCCUUCAUUUUGCCAACCAAAGUGUUAGUGUGCAGGCGUGAUGUCUAAUUUACAUAUUUCAUGGGAAGUGUCUACUAAGUAAAUGGACUACAACUGAACACCAAUCAAGAACGCUCGCGUCAAGAGCGCUCAAGUCAAGA
Long non-coding RNA from Asterias rubens (European starfish), 640 nucleotides. RefSeq lists it as uncharacterized. The record is from RefSeq and is a predicted model, not a curated record. The transcript has 3 exons. Lineage: Eukaryota; Metazoa; Echinodermata; Asteroidea; Forcipulatida; Asteriidae.